Molecule: ribosomal RNA, 500 nt
Filed under: uncultured bacterium
Lineage: Bacteria
Description: partial 16S ribosomal RNA
Rfam family: Bacterial small subunit ribosomal RNA
Source: RNAcentral
GACGAACGCUGGCGGCGUGCUUAACACAUGCAAGUCGAACGGGUCUGCCCUGUUUUUUGCGGGGUGGGUCAGUGGCGAACGGGUGAGUAACACGUGAGUAACCUGCCCCUCACUUCUGGAUAACCGCUUGAAAGGGUGGCUAAUACGGGGUGUUCUGGCUGUGCCGCAUGGUGUGGCUGGGAAAGAUUCACUUUUGUGGUGUUUUGGUGGGGGAUGGGCUCGCGGCCUAUCAGCUUGUCGGUGGGGUGAUGGCCUGCCAAGGCUUUGACGGGUAGCCGGCCUGAGAGGGUGGGCGGUCACACUGGGACUGAGAUACGGCCCAGACUCCUGCGGGAGGCAGCAGUGGGGGGUAUUGCACAAUGGGCGGAAGCCUGAUGCAGCGACGUCGCGUGAGGGAUGGAGGCCUUCGGGUUGUGAACCUCUUUCGCCGGUGAAGAAGGUCCUGCUCUUUGUGGUGGGGUUGACGGUAGCCGGGUUAUGAAGCGCCGGCUAACUACGUG